This 1969-nucleotide small RNA is filed under the name uncultured Bradyrhizobium sp. Its description in RNAcentral is "bacterial LSU rRNA". The stretch from base 813 to 1969 matches the Rfam family "Bacterial large subunit ribosomal RNA", at positions 1 to 1117 of the family's 2925-position model. The record is from RNAcentral. Lineage: Bacteria; Pseudomonadati; Pseudomonadota; Alphaproteobacteria; Hyphomicrobiales; Nitrobacteraceae.
UGCGGCUGGAUCACCUCCUUUCUAAGGAUGGUUCUUCAGAAGCUUGCUUCUAUCGAACCGUUUUAGAAACAUCAGUGGCCAACAGAUCGCCAGAUCGUUGAGCUGCAUUGGCGGGAUUUCGCCGUCUUCGUUUCUCUUUCUUCGCGGACGAACACGCGCUGGGGCUGCAGGCUUGCAGAUCCCUGGUCCUUGACUGGAUAUGCGUUAGGGGCUUGUAGCUCAGUUGGUUAGAGCGCGCGCUUGAUAAGCGUGAGGUCGGAAGUUCAAGUCUUCCCAGGCCCACCACUUUCAUCGAGUGUGCAUUCGUCUUCUGGUUACGGGGCCAUAGCUCAGCUGGGAGAGCGCGUGCUUUGCAAGCAUGAGGUCGUCGGUUCGAUCCCGUCUGGCUCCACCAGAUGGUUUGAUCACCGAGAUCUCGUACCGUCGUCCGCGAAACAUCACUUCGCACUUGCUAGUCCGGAUGGACAGCAGGCUGCGUGAUUUCUGACAUCGUAAAGAGGAGAUCGAUCCGAGUUGGAUCGUGCGGAGAAUAUCCGCGCGAGACUUCAUUAUCUCCGGAUCAUUUCGGCGCUCGCGCGCCUUUCAGUGUGGCUCACAAGGCUGCGUCUGAAAGACAUGCGAGUUGUGAAUGAUCCUUUUAGCGAAGCUUGACCGCCUCGCUAUCGGAACGAUCUUACGAAGCAAGCUGGUCUUUCUAGUCAAUGUCCGGCUGUACGUAGCGUUCAUCGAGGGCGCGUGCCUUAGAGACUUCGGUCUCUUGGCAGUCGUACAGACAACAUUCUGCCGAGUGUGUGGACAUUGAUAAUGAGAGCAAUCAAGUGCCUUAAGGGUGUUCGGUGGAUGCCUUGGCGCUGAGAGGCGAUGAAGGACGUGCUACGCUGCGAUAAGCCGUGGGGAGCUGCGAAGAAGCUUUGAUCCGCGGAUUUCCGAAUGGGGAAACCCACCUUCGAUAGCCGGAACUCCAAGACCUUAGGUUUUGGGGUUUGACCAGAAAUGAUCGGGACCAUGACCGCAAGGUUUUGGAUUUCCGGUUAUCAAGAGAAGGUAUGAGACUUCUGAAUACAUAGGAGGUUUCAAGCGAACCCAGGGAACUGAAACAUCUAAGUACCUGGAGGAAAGGACAUCAACAGAGACUCCGUUAGUAGUGGCGAGCGAACGCGGACCAGGCCAGUGAUACAUCAAAGACAAUCGGAACCAGUCAGGAAAGCUGGGCCUCAGAGGGUGAUAGCCCCGUACGAGUAAUGCGAUGAUGUAUCCACGAGUAAGGCGGGACACGUGCAAUCCUGUCUGAACACGGGGGGACCACCCUCCAAGCCUAAGUACUCCUCAGCGACCGAUAGCGAACUAGUACCGUGAGGGAAAGGUGAAAAGCACCCCGACGAGGGGAGUGAAAUAGACCUGAAACCGGACACCUACAAACAGAUGGAGCCCAAGAUACGUUCUGGGUGACAUCGUACCUUUUGUAUUAUGGGCCAGCGACUUAAUUUAACGAGCAAGCUUAAGCCGAUAGGCGAAGGCGUAGCGAAAGCGAGUCUGAAUAGGGCGUCAAGUUCGUUGUAUUAGACCCGAAACCUAGUGAUCUAGCCAUGAGCAGGUUGAAGGUGAGGUAACACUCACUGGAGGACCGAACGGGUGCCUGUUGAAAAAGGCUCCGAUGACUUGUGGUUAGGGGUGAAAGGCCAAUCAAACUGGGAAAUAGCUGGUUCUCCGCGAAAGAUAUUUAGGUAUCGCCUCGGAUGAAUACCUCAGGGGGUAGAGCACUGGAUGGGCUAGGGGGACUUACCGUCUUACCAAACCCAACCAAACUCCGAAUACCUGAGAGUACUAUCCGGGAGUCACACGGCGGGUGCUAACGUCCGUCGUGGAGAGGGAAACAACCCGGACCUACAGCUAAGGCCCCUAAUUCGUGGCUAAGUGGGAAAGGAUGUGGAAAUCCCAAAACAACCAGGAGGUUGGCUUAGAAGCAGCC